CUCAUGAGCGGGACGAUUGUUCGAAAGGAU
Molecule: non-coding RNA, 30 nt
Filed under: Mus musculus (house mouse)
Lineage: Eukaryota; Metazoa; Chordata; Mammalia; Rodentia; Muridae
Source: RNAcentral